UACGUAGGGUCCGAGCGUUGUCCGGAAUUAUUGGGCGUAAAGAGCUCGUAGGCGGUUUGUCGCGUCGGCUGUGAAAACUCGGGGCUCAACCCCGAGCCUGCAGUCGAUACGGGCAAACUAGAGUGUGGUAGGGGAGACUGGAAUUCCUGGUGUAGCGGUGAAAUGCGUAGAUAUCGGAAGGAACGCCGGUGGCGAAAGCGACGUGCUGGACCUCUUCUGACGCUGAGGCGCGAAAGCCAGGGGAGCAAACGGG
This 253-nucleotide ribosomal RNA is filed under the name uncultured bacterium. RNAcentral's name for it is "partial 16S ribosomal RNA". It matches the Rfam family "Bacterial small subunit ribosomal RNA", at positions 524 to 776 of the family's 1533-position model. The record is from RNAcentral.